GUGUGACAAUGAUAACUUGGCUCUAAACUCUAAUUGGGGAUGACCAAGUUUGAUGCCGCUACACAC
Non-coding RNA from Takifugu rubripes (torafugu), 66 nucleotides. The record is from Rfam. NCBI's taxonomy places the organism in Eukaryota, Metazoa, Chordata, Actinopteri, Tetraodontiformes, Tetraodontidae.